This 496-nucleotide ribosomal RNA is filed under the name uncultured bacterium. RNAcentral's name for it is "bacterial SSU rRNA". It matches the Rfam family "Bacterial small subunit ribosomal RNA", at positions 29 to 530 of the family's 1533-position model. The record is from RNAcentral.
AGCGAACGUUAGCGGCAGGCUUAACACAUGCAAGUCGAGCGAGAAAGGGGCUUCGGCCCUGAGUAAAGCGGCGGACGGGUGCGUAACACGUGGAUAAUCUGCCCUUCAGUGGGGAAUAACGUUCCGAAAGGAACGCUAAUGCCGCAUGUCACAGCAAUGUCUCUGGACAAAGUUGGAAAGGGGACGCCCGCAAGGGGUUCUCGCUGGAGGAUGAGUCCGCGGCCCAUCAGCUUGUUGGCGGGGUAAUGGCCCACCAAGGCGAAGACGGGUAGCUGGUCUGAGAGGAUGACCAGCCACACUGGGACUGAGACACGGCCCAGACUCCUACGGGAGGCAGCAGUGGGGAAUAUUGGACAAUGGGCGAAAGCCUGAUCCAGCCAUGCCGCGUGAGUGAUGAAGGUCUUCGGAUUGUAAAGCUCUGUCUUUAGGGACGAUAAUGACGGUACCUAAGGAGGAAGCCACGGCUAACUACGUGCCAGCAGCCGCGGUAAGGUAG